CAGAAAAAAAUAAGGCUCCUAGUACAGAGGACAGACACAAGUUUAUUGCUGAAGAGCAAAAUGAUUGCUUCAUAUCUUUAUUAGAACCUCGAAAGGCAGGUUUACAAACUGCCAUGAGUUACCUCUAGAGUAUUCCCUGCAGGGUCAGUAACCCCACGUAUCUCAGAAAUGCUGGUCACUGGAGGUUCUCCUGUCUGACCAUGAGGAGCUGGGAUUUU
This is a non-coding RNA of Pelobates cultripes (western spadefoot toad), 218 nucleotides long. The record is from the annotation of a GenBank genome assembly. NCBI's taxonomy places the organism in Eukaryota, Metazoa, Chordata, Amphibia, Anura, Pelobatidae.